RNAcentral lists this ribosomal RNA (429 nucleotides) under Bacteroidota bacterium. Its description in RNAcentral is "Bacteroidetes bacterium partial 16S ribosomal RNA". It matches the Rfam family "Bacterial small subunit ribosomal RNA", at positions 355 to 776 of the family's 1533-position model. The record is from RNAcentral. Lineage: Bacteria; Pseudomonadati; Bacteroidota.
UAGGGAAUCUUCGGCAAUGGGGGGAACCCUGACCGAGCAACGCCGCGUGAGUGAAGAAGGUUUUCGGAUCGUAAAGCUCUGUUGUUAAGAAAGAACGAGUGUGAGAAUGGAAAGUUCAUACUGUGACGGUACUUAACCAGAAAGGGACGGCUAACUACGUGCCAGCAGCCGCGGUAAUACGUAGGUCCCGAGCGUUGUCCGGAUUUAUUGGGCGUAAAGCGAGCGCAGGCGGUUAGAUAAGUCUGAAGUUAAAGGCAGUGGCUCAACCAUUGUAGGCUUUGGAAACUGUUUAACUUGAGUGCAGAAGGGGAGAGUGGAAUUCCAUGUGUAGCGGUGAAAUGCGUAGAUAUAUGGAGGAACACCGGUGGCGAAAGCGGCUCUCUGGUCUGUAACUGACGCUGAGGCUCGAAAGCGUGGGGAGCGAACAGG